RNAcentral lists this ribosomal RNA (447 nucleotides) under uncultured bacterium. Its description in RNAcentral is "bacterial SSU rRNA". It matches the Rfam family "Bacterial small subunit ribosomal RNA", at positions 330 to 793 of the family's 1533-position model. The record is from RNAcentral.
UCCAGACUCCUACGGGAGGCAGCAGUGGGGGAUAUUGCACAAUGGGGGGAACCCUGAUGCAGCGACGCCGCGUGGGUGAAGGAGUGCUUCGGCAUGUAAAGCCCUAUCGGCAGGGAAGAAGCAAGACGGUACCUGACUAAGAAGCCCCGGCUAACUACGUGCCAGCAGCCGCGGGAAUACGUAGGGGGCGAGCGUUAUCCGGAUUCACUGGGUGUAAAGGGAGCGUAGACGGCAGGGCAAGCCAGAAGUGAAAACGCAGAGCUUAACUUUGCGACUGCUUUUGGAACUGCCCAGCUAGAGUACAGGAGAGGUAAGUGGAAUUCCUAGUGUAGCGGUGAAAUGCGUAGAUAUUAGGAGGAACACCAGUGGCGAAGGCGGCUUACUGGACUGAGACUGACGUUGAGGCUCGAAAGCGUGGGGAGCAAACAGGAUUAGAUACCCGAGUAA